Molecule: non-coding RNA, 991 nt
Organism: Castor canadensis (American beaver)
Lineage: Eukaryota; Metazoa; Chordata; Mammalia; Rodentia; Castoridae
Source: RefSeq, a predicted model, not a curated record
UAAGAUUUUAGUCAUUCUGGGUACUAUAUGCCAACUGUAUUAGUCUCAUUUUGUUACUAUCAGGAAAUAGCUGAGGCUAAGUAACUUGAUAAAGUAACAUUUAGCUCACAGUUUUGGAUGAUGAACGUUCAAACAGCAAAGCCUCUCCACUGGCUACAUCAUAUCAUGACAAGUAAUAUCAUAUAAUGGCAGGAAUGCUUGGGAAAGGAAGAGAUCAUAUUCUAGAUAAGAAGCCACAACACAACUCAGGAGUUAGGCUUGCUUUUAGAAUAACUCACUGACACAAGAACUAAUUCAGGGUCCCAUGAGAACCACUUUAUUCCCUUCUGAGGUAAUGCCACCAGUGACCUAACCAAUUCCUACUAGGUUCCACCACCUUCCACCAUCACAUUAGAGACCAAGCUUUCAAUUCAUGAACUCUUGAGGGGUAAACCACAUCCAAAUAAUGGCACUAGCUUAUUUAGUUUCUUAUCUAUCUUUUCUGUUUGUGUGAUCCUUGGUUCUUACUAUAUAGUUGGCUUGUAUAGUGUAGCCAGUAAAUUACAGUUUCAUUCCUAUGGACUUUGUGAAUAGACACUAGUUUGUUUCAACUGUUUUCUUUGUUCUGAACAGUCUGAAGAUGAUGAGAAACUGAAAAAGAGGAAGGAACGAUUUGGGAUUGUCACAAGUUCAGCUGGAACUGGAACCACAGAGGAUACAGAGGCAAAGAAGAGGAAAAGAGCAGAGCGCUUUGGGAUUGCAUGAUGAAAAAUUCUUCCUGCUUUCUGUUCUCCAGUGGUUUCCAUUUCUCUGAUUCUUCUUGGUCACAUAUAUCCCUAAAUGCACAGUCAUGUGCCUACUACAUCCUGCCUCCCAGUGAGGGAGCAUGUACCUCAGGUACAUCCGUGAACUCCAGCAGCAAUUGGACUUAAUGCUGUUCCAACUUCAAGGUUGUUGUGUUUUUGUUUUUAAUUAUUUUGCUUGUUAAUAAAAAAAAAAAUAGAAAAGAGAA